RNAcentral lists this ribosomal RNA (460 nucleotides) under uncultured bacterium. RNAcentral describes it as "partial 16S ribosomal RNA". It matches the Rfam family "Bacterial small subunit ribosomal RNA", at positions 338 to 795 of the family's 1533-position model. The record is from RNAcentral.
CCUACGGGUGGCAGCAGUGAGGAAUAUUGGUCAAUGGGCGCUAGCCUGAACCAGCGAAGUAGCGUGAAGGAUGACUGCCCUAUGGGUUGUAAACUUCUUUUGUAUGGGAAUAAAGUGCAGUAUGUAUACUGCUUUGCAUGUACCUUAUGAAUAAGGAUCGGCUAACUCCGUGCCAGCAGCCGCGGUAAUACGGAGGAUCCAAGCGUUAUCCGGAUUUAGUGGGUUUAAAGGGAGCGUAGGCGGGUUGUUAAGUCAGUGGUGAAAGUUUGCGGCUCAACCGUAAAAUUGCAGUUGAUACUGGCAGCCUUGAGUACAGUAGAGGUAGGCGGAAUUCGUGGUGUAGCGGUGAAAUGCUUAGAUAGCACGAAGAACUCCGAUUGCGAAGGCAGCCUGCUGGACUGUAACUGACGCUGAUGCUCGAAAGUGUGGGGAUCAAACAGGAUUAGAUACCCCGGUAGUC